GACGAACGCUGGCGGCGUGCUUAACACAUGCAAGUCGAACGGAAAGGCCCUGCUUUUGUGGGGUGCUCGAGUGGCGAACGGGUGAGUAACACGUGAGUAACCUGCCCUUGACUUUGGGAUAACUUCAGGAAACUGGGGCUAAUACCGGAUAGGGGCUCCUGCUGCAUGGUGGGGGUUGGAAAGUUUCGGCGGUUGGGGAUGGACUCGCGGCUUAUCAGCUUGUUGGUGGGGUAGUGGCUUACCAAGGCUUUGACGGGUAGCCGGCCUGAGAGGGCGACCGGCCACAUUGGGACUGAGAUACGGCCCAGACUCCUACGGGAGGCAGCAGUGGGGAAUAUUGCACAAUGGGCGGAAGCCUGAUGCAGCAACGCCGCGUGCGGGAUGACGGCCUUCGGGUUGUAAACCGCUUUCGCCUGUGACGAAGCGUGAGUGACGGUAAUGGGUAAAGAAGCACCGGCUAACUACGUGC
This 469-nucleotide ribosomal RNA is filed under the name uncultured bacterium. RNAcentral's name for it is "partial 16S ribosomal RNA". It matches the Rfam family "Bacterial small subunit ribosomal RNA", at positions 28 to 508 of the family's 1533-position model. The record is from RNAcentral.